ACUUAGCCAUAAACCUUGGUAGGCCCUACACCUCGCCCGCCCGCCAGAGAACUACGAGUGAAAAACUUGAAACUCUAAGGACUUGACGGUGCCCCACACCUCCUAGAGGAGCCUGUCCUACAAUCGAUGCUCCACGUUAAACCUCCCCCCCCCUUGUUAAAGUCAGCCUAUAUACCGCCGUCGUCAGCCUGCCUAGUGAUAGCCACACAGCAAGCAAGAUAGUCUCACCACUAAUACGUCAGGUCAAGGUGUAGCUCAUGGGGGGGCAAGAGAUGGGCUACAUUUUCUAACUACUAGACAACUCACCGUAAGCCACAUGAAAUCUUGGCCGACCGGAGGAUUUAGCAGUAAAUGCAGGUAAGAAUGCCUAAUUGAAGCAGGCCCUGGGGCGCGUACACACCGCCCGUCACCCUCCUCAAAAUCCACCACUAAAUAACUAAACCACACUUUAACCACAAGAUGAGGUAAGUCGUAACAUGGUAAGCCCACCGGAAGGUGGGCUUGGCACAUC
RNAcentral lists this ribosomal RNA (511 nucleotides) under Phyllodactylus unctus (San Lucan gecko). RNAcentral describes it as "partial 12S ribosomal RNA". It matches the Rfam family "Bacterial small subunit ribosomal RNA", at positions 794 to 1533 of the family's 1533-position model. Lineage: Eukaryota; Metazoa; Chordata; Lepidosauria; Squamata; Phyllodactylidae. The record is from RNAcentral.